Long non-coding RNA from Erinaceus europaeus (western European hedgehog), 854 nucleotides. RefSeq lists it as uncharacterized. NCBI's taxonomy places the organism in Eukaryota, Metazoa, Chordata, Mammalia, Eulipotyphla, Erinaceidae. The record is from RefSeq and is a predicted model, not a curated record. The transcript has 3 exons.
UUUUAUUAGUAAGAAGAAGAGAAAUUGAGAGGGGAGGGAGAGAUAGAGACAGAGAGAGAAUGAGAGACACCUGCAGACCUGCUUUACUACAUGAAGCUGUCCUCCAUGAAAGUGGGGAGAAGGGACUCCAAACCUGGUCCUUGCAUGUGGUAAUUUGUGUGCUCAACUGGGUGUACCACCACCUGGCCUAUAUAUAUAAGGUUUCUAUGAGUAUGUAAUUAAAGACUCCCUCUUUUUAACAAAGUAACUUCAAGGGUGGAGGGUAGAUAGCAUAAUGGUUAUGCAAACAGACUUUCAUGCCUGAGGCUCCAAAGUCCUAGGUUCAAUCCCCCGCACCACCAUAAGCCAGAGCUGAACAGUGCUCUGGUUAAAAAAUAAAAAAAUAAAAAAAUUAAAAAAGUAACUUCAAGAUUAAACACUCGAGUGUUUUAUGUAUUCUGUCAUGCCAUCCUUACAAGAGUAUGACACAUACUUAUCAUCUUGCCUUCCUGUGUCAAGAUACCGAGACUUGUUAAAUUUCAGCCUUGUCCUAGAGCAGACCUUGUCAAGACAUGUACUCAAGUUUCCCUGAUUCCAUUGAAUGUAGCAUUUAAGAAGAUGGCACCAAACAUGCUUCACUUCAGACUGUGUCCAGAGACUCCAGGUGUAGAACGACAACCCUUCAGCUUCAUCACUCGGCCACCAGGUUCCAGAUGCCAUCAGGAUGCCAGCCAGGUUUCCCUGGACUGAAGACCCCACCAAUGCAUCCUGGAGCUCAGCUUCCCCAGAGACCCACCCUACUAGGGAAAGAGAGAGGCAGACUGGGAGCAUGGAUUGAUCAGUCAACACCCAUGUUCAGCGGGGAAGCAAUUACA